AGAGUUUGAUCCUGGCUCAGAUUGAACGCUGGCGGCAUGCCUUACACAUGCAAGUCGAACGGCAGCGCGGGGCAACCUGGCGGCGAGUGGCGAACGGGUGAGUAAUAUAUCGGAACGUGCCCUGGAGUGGGGGAUAACGCAGCGAAAGUUGCGCUAAUACCGCAUACGAUCUAAGGAUGAAAGCAGGGGACCGCAAGGCCUUGUGCUCCUGGAGCGGCCGAUAUCUGAUUAGCUAGUUGGUGGGGUAAAGGCCUACCAAGGCAUCGAUCAGUAGCUGGUCUGAGAGGACGACCAGCCACACUGGAACUGAGACACGGUCCAGACUCCUACGGGAGGCAGCAGUGGGGAAUUUUGGACAAUGGGCGAAAGCCUGAUCCAGCAAUGCCGCGUGAGUGAAGAAGGCCUUCGGGUUGUAAA
This 417-nucleotide ribosomal RNA is filed under the name uncultured bacterium. Its description in RNAcentral is "bacterial SSU rRNA". It matches the Rfam family "Bacterial small subunit ribosomal RNA", at positions 8 to 429 of the family's 1533-position model. The record is from RNAcentral.